Molecule: long non-coding RNA, 231 nt
Filed under: Panax ginseng (ginseng)
Lineage: Eukaryota; Viridiplantae; Streptophyta; Magnoliopsida; Apiales; Araliaceae
Description: long non-coding RNA (PGIN_LNC006850)
Source: RNAcentral
AGAGAUCCUUGGGAAUGGUGGGUUAUGGAGAAUGGACCAGUUAUUCCAAGGAAAGAUGACGGUACUCCAAAGACUCUGCUAGAGAUGGAUUCAACUGAGACCUUCAUGGUUUCCUAUGAUUCAAGGGCUAUGAAUACUUUACUAAGCGGCAUGGUGCAGUCCGAGAUUGACAAAGUAUCAUCAUGCAAUACAGCUAAGGAAAUUUGGGACACCUUAGUGGUGAGUCAUGAA